GAAAGCAGGGGAUCGUAAGACCUCGCGCUAUUGGAGCGGCCGAUGUCCGAUUAGCUAGUUGGUGGGGUAAUGGCCUACCAAGGCGACGAUCGGUAGCUGGUCUGAGAGGAUGAUCAGCCACACUGGGGCUGAGACACGGCCCAGACUCCUACGGGAGGCAGCAGUGGGGAAUUUUGGACAAUGGGCGAAAGCCUGAUCCAGCCAUGCCGCGUGAGUGAAGAAGGCCUUCGGGUUGUAAAGCUCUUUCGGCCGGAACGAAAUCGUCCGGGCUAAUACCCCGGAUGGAUGACGGUACCGGAAGAAGAAGCACCGGCUAACUACGUGCCAGCAGCCGCGGUAAUACGUAGGGUGCAGGCGUUAAUCGGAAUUACUGGGCGUAAAGCGUGCGCAGGCGGCUUCCUAAGUCAGAUGUGAAAUCCCCGGGCUUAACCUGGGAACUGCGUUUGAAACUACAAAGC
Molecule: ribosomal RNA, 458 nt
Filed under: uncultured beta proteobacterium
Lineage: Bacteria; Pseudomonadati; Pseudomonadota; Betaproteobacteria
Description: bacterial SSU rRNA
Rfam family: Bacterial small subunit ribosomal RNA
Source: RNAcentral